This 399-nucleotide ribosomal RNA is filed under the name uncultured bacterium. Its description in RNAcentral is "bacterial SSU rRNA". It matches the Rfam family "Bacterial small subunit ribosomal RNA", at positions 28 to 418 of the family's 1533-position model. The record is from RNAcentral.
GAUGAACGCUAGCUACAGGCUUAACACAUGCAAGUCGAGGGGCAGCAUUAUCGAAGCUUGCUUUGAUAGAUGGCGACCGGCGCACGGGUGAGUAACGCGUAUCCAACCUUCCCCAUAGUCAGGAAUAGCCCGGCGAAAGUCGAAUUAAUGCCUGAUGUUUUCCACGGACGGCAUCUGAUGUGGAACAAAGAUUCAUCGCUAUGGGAUGGGGAUGCGUCUGAUUAGCUUGUUGGCGGGGUAACGGCCCACCAAGGCAACGAUCAGUAGGGGUUCUGAGAGGAAGGUCCCCCANAUUGGAACUGAGACACGGUCCAAACUCCUACGGGAGGCAGCAGUGAGGAAUAUUGGUCAAUGGACGAGAGUCUGAACCAGCCAAGUAGCGUGCAGGAUGACGGCCCU